GAACUUAAGCAUAUCAAUAAGCGGAGGAAAAGAAACUAACAAGGAUUCCCCUAGUAACGGCGAGUGAAGCGGGAAGAGCUCAAAUUUGAAAUCUGGUGGCCUCAGGCUAUCCGAGUUGUAAUCUAUGGAAACAUUUUCCGCGUUGGCCCAUGUACAAGUCUCUUGGAAUAGAGCGUCAUAGAGGGUGAGAAUCCCGUCCUUGACAUGGACUACCAGUGCUUUGUGAUAUGUUUUCAACGAGUCGAGUUGUUUGGGAAUGCAGCUCAAAAUGGGUGGUAAAUUCCAUCUAAAGCUAAAUAUUGGCGAGAGACCGAUAGCGAACAAGUACCGUGAGGGAAAGAUGAAAAGCACUUUGGAAAGAGAGUUAAACAGUAUGUGAAAUUGUUGAAAGGGAAACGAUUGAAGUCAGUCGUGUCUAUUGGACUCAGCCGGUUCUGCCGGUGUACUUCCUUUAGAUGGGGUCAACAUCAGUUUUGAUCGCUGGAAAAGGGCAGGAGGAAUGUAGCACUCUCGGGUGAACUUAUAGCCUUCUGUCGCAUACAGUGGUUGGGACUGAGGAACGCAGCUUGCCUUUAUGGCCGGGAUUUAUCCACGUACAAGCUUAGGAUGUUGACAUAAUGGCUUUAAACGACCCGUCUUGAAACACGGACCAAGGAGUCUAACAUAUCUGCGAGUAUUUGGGUGUUAAACCCAUCUGCGCAAUGAAAGUGAAUGUAGGAGGGAUCCGCAAGGUGCACCUUCGACCGAUCUGGAUCUUUAGCGAUGGAUUUGAGUAAGAGCAUAUAUGUUGGGACCCGAAA
Molecule: ribosomal RNA, 800 nt
Filed under: uncultured fungus
Lineage: Eukaryota; Fungi
Description: eukaryotic LSU rRNA
Rfam family: Eukaryotic large subunit ribosomal RNA
Source: RNAcentral